RNAcentral lists this ribosomal RNA (374 nucleotides) under uncultured organism. Its description in RNAcentral is "partial 16S ribosomal RNA". It matches the Rfam family "Bacterial small subunit ribosomal RNA", at positions 527 to 896 of the family's 1533-position model. The record is from RNAcentral.
GUAGGUGGCAAGCGUUGUCCGGAAUUAUUGGGGCGUAAAGCGCGCGCAGGCGGUUCUUUAAGUCUGAUGUGAAAGCCCACGGGCUCAACCGUGGAGAGUCAUUGGAAACUGGAGAACUUGAGUACAGAAGAGGAAAGCGGAAUUCCACGUGUAGCGGUGAAAUGCGUAGAGAUGUGGAGGAACACCAGUGGCGAAGGCGGCUUUCUGGUCUGUAACUGACGCUGAGGCGCGAAAGCGUGGGGAGCAAACAGGAUUAGAUACCCUGGUAGUCCACGCCGUAAACGAUGAGUGCUAAGUGUUAGGGGGUUUCCGCCCCUUAGUGCUGCAGCUAACGCAUUAAGCACUCCGCCUGGGGAGUACGGCCGCAAAGGCUG